ACGGGUGAGUAACACGUAUCCAACCUGCCGUCUACUCUUGGACAGCCUUCUGAAAGGAAGAUUAAUACAAGAUGGCAUCAUGAGUUCACAUGUUCACAUGAUUAAGGGUAUUCCGGUAGACGAUGGGGAUGCGUUCCAUUAGAUAGUAGGCGGGGUAACGGCCCACCUAGUCUUCGAUGGAUAGGGGUUCUGAGAGGAAGGUCCCCCACAUUGGAACUGAGACACGGUCCAA
RNAcentral lists this ribosomal RNA (232 nucleotides) under uncultured bacterium. RNAcentral describes it as "partial 16S ribosomal RNA". It matches the Rfam family "Bacterial small subunit ribosomal RNA", at positions 102 to 334 of the family's 1533-position model. The record is from RNAcentral.